Molecule: ribosomal RNA, 731 nt
Filed under: Rossellomorea vietnamensis
Lineage: Bacteria; Bacillati; Bacillota; Bacilli; Caryophanales; Bacillaceae
Description: bacterial SSU rRNA
Rfam family: Bacterial small subunit ribosomal RNA
Source: RNAcentral
UAUACAUGCAGUCGAGCGGAUUGAUGGGAGCUUGCUCCCUGAUAUCAGCGGCGGACGGGUGAGUAACACGUGGGUAACCUGCCUGUAAGACUGGGAUAACUCCGGGAAACCGGGGCUAAUACCGGAUAACUCAUUUCCUCGCAUGAGGAAAUGUUGAAAGGUGGCUUUUAGCUACCACUUACAGAUGGACCCGCGGCGCAUUAGCUAGUUGGUGAGGUAACGGCUCACCAAGGCGACGAUGCGUAGCCGACCUGAGAGGGUGAUCGGCCACACUGGGACUGAGACACGGCCCAGACUCCUACGGGAGGCAGCAGUAGGGAAUCUUCCGCAAUGGACGAAAGUCUGACGGAGCAACGCCGCGUGAGUGAUGAAGGUUUUCGGAUCGUAAAGCUCUGUUGUUAGGGAAGAACAAGUGCCGUUCGAAUAGGGCGGCACCUUGACGGUACCUAACCAGAAAGCCACGGCUAACUACGUGCCAGCAGCCGCGGUAAUACGUAGGUGGCAAGCGUUGUCCGGAAUUAUUGGGCGUAAAGCGCGCGCAGGUGGUUUCUUAAGUCUGAUGUGAAAGCCCACGGCUCAACCGUGGAGGGUCAUUGGAAACUGGGGAACUUGAGUGCAGAAGAGGAAAGUGGAAUUCCAAGUGUAGCGGUGAAAUGCGUAGAUAUUUGGAGGAACACCAGUGGCGAAGGCGACUUUCUGGUCUGUAACUGACACUGAGGCGCGAAAGCGUG